GACGAACGCUGGCGGCGUGCCUAAUACAUGCAAGUCGAACGCACUCUCGUUUAGAUUGAAGGAGCUUGCUCCUGAUUGAUAAACAUUUGAGUGAGUGGCGGACGGGUGAGUAACACGUGGGUAACCUGCCCUAAAGUGGGGGAUAACAUUUGGAAACAGAUGCUAAUACCGCAUAAAACCUAAACACCGCAUGGUGUAGGGUUGAAAGAUGGUUUCGGCUAUCACUUUAGGAUGGACCCGCGGUGCAUUAGUUAGUUGGUGAGGUAAAGGCUCACCAAGACCGUGAUGCAUAGCCGACCUGAGAGGGUAAUCGGCCACACUGGGACUGAGACACGACCCCAGACUCCUACGGGAGGCAGCAGUAGGGAAUCUUCCACAAUGGACGAAAGUCUGAUGGAGCAACGCCGCGUGAGUGAAGAAGGUUUUCGGAUCGUAAAACUCUGUUGUUGGAGAAGAAUAGUAUCUGAUAGUAACUGAUCAGGUAGUGACGGUAUCCAACCAGAAAGCCACGG
This 512-nucleotide ribosomal RNA is filed under the name uncultured bacterium. RNAcentral's name for it is "bacterial SSU rRNA". It matches the Rfam family "Bacterial small subunit ribosomal RNA", at positions 28 to 496 of the family's 1533-position model. The record is from RNAcentral.